UGGGGAAUAUUGCACAAUGGGGGGAACCCUGAUGCAGCGACGCCGCGUGAGCGAAGAAGGGACUCGUUUCGUAAAGCUCUGUCCUAUGGGAAGAUAAUGACGGUACCAUAGAAGAAAGCCCCGGCUAACUACGUGCCAGCAGCCGCGGUAAUACGUAGGGGGCGAGCGUUGUCCGGAAUCACUGGGCGUAAAGGGUUCGCAGGCGGAUAAACAAGUCAAGAGUAAAAGGCAUGGGCUUAACCCAUGUAAGCUAUUGAAACUGUUUAUCUUGAGAUGUGGGGAGGUAAGUGGAAUUACUAGUGUAGCGGUGAAAUGCGUAGAUAUUAGUAGGAAUACCAGUGGCGAAGGAGACUUACUGGACACAAACUGACGCUGAGGAACGAAAGCGUGGGUAGCAAACAGG
RNAcentral lists this ribosomal RNA (403 nucleotides) under Bacteroidota bacterium. RNAcentral's name for it is "Bacteroidetes bacterium partial 16S ribosomal RNA". It matches the Rfam family "Bacterial small subunit ribosomal RNA", at positions 355 to 776 of the family's 1533-position model. Lineage: Bacteria; Pseudomonadati; Bacteroidota. The record is from RNAcentral.